Molecule: ribosomal RNA, 257 nt
Filed under: uncultured bacterium
Lineage: Bacteria
Description: partial 16S ribosomal RNA
Rfam family: Bacterial small subunit ribosomal RNA
Source: RNAcentral
UACAGAGGUGGCAAGCGUUGUUCGGAAUUACUGGGCGUAAAGGGCGCGUAGGCGGCCUACUAAGUCAGACGUGAAAUCCCCCGGCUUAACCUGGGAACUGCGUCUGAUACUGGGAGGCUUGAGUAUGGGAGAGGGAUGUAGAAUUCCAGGUGUAGCGGUGAAAUGCGUAGAUAUCUGGAGGAAUACCGGUGGCGAAGGCGGCAUCCUGGACCAUUACUGACGCUGAGGCGCGAAAAGCUAGGGGGAGCAAAACGGGG